Molecule: long non-coding RNA, 1071 nt
Organism: Apis laboriosa (Himalayan honeybee)
Lineage: Eukaryota; Metazoa; Arthropoda; Insecta; Hymenoptera; Apidae
Exons: 5
Source: RefSeq, a predicted model, not a curated record
AAAUACUGUAGCAAGACUGAAAGCGAUAACAACAGUAGCGCUCAUAAUGUAUCCGGCCAGAAAUUGAAAACCAAGUACGAUACUGUGCCCUGGAUUAGUAUCAACCGGAAUUUUAUAAGUUGGAAAGGUCCAUCAAUAGUUUUUCGCAACUUCGUUAAUAAAAAUUCGAAAUUGUCUAUAUUUAUACAACAAAAACGAUCAAAUUGCAAAUUGCAAUUCAGUGAUGAUAGAUAUCAUAAUGGAGUCAAGUAUCAUAUCAAUUGUAAAAUUUCGAAGAAGAAAUUGGACCGAGAAACUCGCAGUAGAAAAGAGAGAUCUGGGAUUUCACGAUCUUGUUAUCGAUCUUUUUGUUUUGAGAAAGAAGCAUAAUAAUAUAAAAAUCCCAAUAUAAAAACGAAAUAUAUAAAACUAACGCAGUUGAUGAAACUUUAAAUUUAUUUCAUCAACAAUAUUUUUGCAACUUCGUCAUAAGAAUUCAAAAUGGUCUAUAUCUUUGCAUAACAAAAACGGUCAAAUUACAAGCAUUCAAUGAUAGCAGAUAUUAUUGAACCAAGUAUUGCAUCAAUUGCAAAAUUUUGAAGAAGGGACUAGAUCGAGGAAUCCACGUUAACUGACCAGCAGCGUGGCAUGCAAAUACAGUAGCAAGGCUGAAAGCGAUAACAACGGUAGCACUCAUAAUGCAUCCUGUCAGAAAUUGAAAACCAAGAACGAUACUGUGCUCUAGAUUAGUAUCAACAGGAAUUUUGUAGGUUGGAAAAGCCCAUCGACCAGUCUCCGCAAUUUCGUCACAAAAAUUUGGAAUUGUAUAUAGGCGUGCAUAACGUGCAAAAACGGUAGUCAAACAAUAAGCAUCUGCAGUGAUGUAAUAUAUAACAAAUUUAGCCAAGCAUUGCAUUAAUUGCACAACUUCGAAAGAUUAAAGAAUAAUUUGUGGAUUGAAAAUCUAUUAAUAAAUAAGAGAUACCUGGGAUUUUAUGAUCUUGUUAAUUAUUUUUCUACGUUUCAUACUAAAACGCUAUUAUACAGUUAUAUAGAAAAUUCUUACGGAAUACAUGAAAUCAGCAUAGUUGA